CCCGGUUCUGCACCGCAGCUUUGAAGGGGAAGGAAAGCCUUUAUUUUUUGCAUUUAUUUUAUUUUUCUUUUGGUAGGUUUACUUUGUAGCAACCCCCCCCCCAAAAAAAAAAAAAAAAGAAAAAAGAAAAACCACUGCUGGUGUUUUAAGCACGCUAUUUGUGUGUCAGUUUGCUCCAACCCGAUGGUAAAGUCCCUUUUGCCCUAAUCCAUAGUCUGAUCACACACUCGGCCCUUAAUGGGGGUUUCAAAACAAUUUGAAAGCAGAGGAGGUGGCUGGUGUGUGUGCGGUGGGGAUGGGGGUGGGGGGGCGCUGCACAGGCUCCCGGCACAGACCAGAGACUCAUGGACAGAGCGCUUUUCCCCCUUAGGCUCGCCCUCUCCCAGCCAGCGAGACCUGGGGUUUUUCCACAGCACGCAAGAAGCCCCUUUCGCCUUUUAAACUUCCCCAUCUUGCAGGAGGUGAGAGCCGGCCCCCCUGCUCUCCGGUUGCCAAUCCCGGGCAGCAGGAGCUAGCAAGAAGGGCACUUGAGCUCUGCGAGAGUGGACUUUGGCUUUUGGAAGUGGGGGAGCGUGUUAUCACACACAGGCACACACAAAAAGGCAAAUGCUGCUCCUUCCCCGCUCUUGGUGGAUGGAAAGGGGAGAAGCAGUGCUAGAGCAGAGGAGGGAGAGUCCUGCUUUCCCGUAAGAGCUUUCCGGCAAAUACGUGUUUGCAAAUAAACGUGACAGAGGUUUGCAUCUCGUCCUGUUAGCGGAUCUUUCAAAGGGCUGGAGAAGGAAGAUUGCCUAGGCUCGGGCUGGUGAUCAGCUGCAAAUCCCUUGUGUGUCCCUUCGGGCUGGGGGCAAGGGGGCGGGCUGGAGUGUGCACACUUUGCAGCAAAUGGAGAAGGAAAAAAAAAAAUCAGAGCAGCUCUUCCUGCGGCUGGCUUUGAAUGGGUGCUUGUGGCAAGGCAAGAGGGGGGCGAUCUGCCUUUUACCCAGCUGUCCUGGAGGUGUUGUCUCGACUGCUCUGCAGGUCGCUUUGCAUUACCGGGCUGGGAAGGCUCCUUUAGCAUCCCGGGGGAGAGGGGGGGGUUAAAAGGAAACGUGGGUUUGACUUUCCUGAUAAGGCAGGCAGCAGCCCCCUCCCACCUCCCAGCCCAGGGGAUGUCUCCCGGUUAUCUGCGGGCUGUCCGCACUCGCGCGGCCGCUUGCGCCGCCGGCAGCCGCGGCGCGGGGCGGCCGCGUCCCACCUGCUGCGCCCGGGCUGCAGCCGCGGUGCGGAGCGGGCGGGAGCGAAGCGCGGCGGCUCUUCCGCAGCUCCUGCCGCGGUGGCCGAGGGGUCCUCGGGUCUCCCUAGGAACUGCAGGAUUUCAGAUGUGUGCUAAGCCUGUUGGAGU
Molecule: long non-coding RNA, 1381 nt
Filed under: Dromaius novaehollandiae (emu)
Lineage: Eukaryota; Metazoa; Chordata; Aves; Casuariiformes; Dromaiidae
Description: lncRNA (ENSDNVG00000016089.1)
Source: RNAcentral